This 274-nucleotide ribosomal RNA is filed under the name uncultured bacterium. RNAcentral's name for it is "partial 16S ribosomal RNA". It matches the Rfam family "Bacterial small subunit ribosomal RNA", at positions 523 to 796 of the family's 1533-position model. The record is from RNAcentral.
AUACGGAGGGUCCAAGCGUUAUCCGGAAUCAUUGGGUUUAAAGGGUUCGUAGGCGGGUCAAUAAGUCAGAGGUGAAAUCUUGCAGCUUAACUGUAAAAUUGCCUUUGAAACUGUUGACCUUGAAUUACUGUGAAGUGGUUAGAAUAUGUAGUGUAGCGGUGAAAUGCUUAGAGAUUACAUAGAAUACCGAUUGCGAAGGCAGAUCACUAACAGUAUAUUGACGCUGAUGAACGAAAGCGUGGGUAGCGAACGGGAUUAGAUACCCGGGUAGUCC